RNAcentral lists this non-coding RNA (81 nucleotides) under Clostridium cavendishii DSM 21758. RNAcentral describes it as "skipping-rope RNA". It matches the Rfam family "skipping-rope RNA". Rfam says of the family: Firmicutes, Fusobacteria, AlphaProteobacteria, Spirochaetes. The record is from Rfam by way of RNAcentral. Lineage: Bacteria; Bacillati; Bacillota; Clostridia; Eubacteriales; Clostridiaceae.
AUGAUUUGAGGUGGGAAAUGGCUCCCCACACGCAGUUUUGCUGUUAACAGAGAUGCAGGAUACGCCGACCUGCCAAAUUAU